CCCAUUCGCUUCUCAUCCCGUCAGACCUGCGCCAUGGAGUUCGAGGACGGGCGCGGGGCAACGGUGGUGAGAGGCGAGCC
Molecule: non-coding RNA, 80 nt
Filed under: Suid alphaherpesvirus 1
Lineage: Duplodnaviria; Heunggongvirae; Peploviricota; Herviviricetes; Herpesvirales; Orthoherpesviridae
Source: RNAcentral